This 72-nucleotide transfer RNA is filed under the name Dipodomys ordii (Ord's kangaroo rat). It matches the Rfam family "tRNA". Rfam says of the family: Transfer RNA (tRNA) molecules are approximately 80 nucleotides in length. Their secondary structure includes four short double-helical elements and three loops (D, anti-codon, and T loops). Lineage: Eukaryota; Metazoa; Chordata; Mammalia; Rodentia; Heteromyidae. The record is from Rfam by way of RNAcentral.
AGAGUUAUGGUUUAGUAGUAGAAUGCCUGCCUACCAAGUAUGAUAACCUGAGUUCAAACCUUAGAAAUUCCA